Long non-coding RNA from Triticum dicoccoides, 401 nucleotides. RefSeq lists it as uncharacterized. NCBI's taxonomy places the organism in Eukaryota, Viridiplantae, Streptophyta, Magnoliopsida, Poales, Poaceae. The record is from RefSeq and is a predicted model, not a curated record. The transcript has 3 exons.
CUAUAAGUACCUUUGCCCGUCCUCUCACACGAUCCCCUUCAAAAACCCUUUCUAAAACCCUCCACAGCCGCUGCCAUCUCCAUCCCGAUCUCGUUCUGUUCGCCGCCGUUCAUCGCCGCACCCGACGCCGGGGGCAAACCGAGCUCUUACGUCGACCACCGGAGCUACAGAGCGCCCAAACGCUGUCACCAUCGCCCUGCUCGUUUCCGUCAUCGCCAAGCGCGAACUCCACCACCCCCACGACGCCCUCGCUUCACCGCAUCCGUUCAGCCACUCCACCGACGCCCGCGACCACCGGAAUCGCCGCCCCGUUCGACGCCGACCGCCGCACCGUCGCCUCUAAUUCCCGGAGUGCGAGGACUGCUAUUACGAGUCGCUAGCUUUCGAAGACCGUCAGCAAG